This 1677-nucleotide unclassified non-coding RNA is filed under the name Cyanidioschyzon merolae strain 10D. Its description in RNAcentral is "hypothetical transcript". The record is from RNAcentral. Lineage: Eukaryota; Rhodophyta; Bangiophyceae; Cyanidiales; Cyanidiaceae.
GCGUUCGCUAAACAGAUACACGAUUCGUGUUCUGAUUAUUGUUACAUGCGGAGCUGGACGGGCGUAUGGGACCCGUAUCUGACCAAGAGGCUCUACAGGUUUCAUGGCAGGUAUAUGAAGCACGGUAUGCUGGCACCCGAAAGGCAACAGGUCUCUGUCGCCCUGCCACCUUUCGACGGCCUGCAGUUGUGUUUUGCGGAAACCUCGCCAGGAGCCGUGCUUUGAAAACUUUGGUGCCAUGAGAAACGCUGUAGAAACUUGCGCGGAACUAUGUUGGCGUACGGGUGAAAAAAAGAUCGGAAUCAACGUCCAGCGGUUCGGGCGAGUGUACUGUAUACGCGUUCCCGGUUGCGAGUCUUUUACGAUCCCGAUACGUCGCGUCGAGUCUGCCGGUUACUGGGGCGCUUUGAGGGUCCCCCGAGAUACCCAGUCCCGGUCGGUGAACUGAUUGGCAACGAGCGCAAGCGUCACUUGUGCUGAACCUCGAGUCCCUGGCGUUGCCAAGGAACCACACAAAUGGUUCGAGCCCUUUAGCUGUGUUUCUAUUGUGUGCCCUUAACCCGUUCCCUGUCCAUUUGCAACGGAACAACAUACUUGCGCCCACGUAUUGACAAACAGAGCGCUCCCUCCCCGGAUGCUAACAGUUCGUAUGCUUGCGUCGCUCUGCGUCAAGGACCCAGUCACCGACGAUGCGGUGCUCGGGGUCGCAGCGCAUCGCCCCAGUCAGGUGCACUUCGCCUUGAUGCUGCUGCUGCUGCUGUUGCUGCUGGUGUUCAUUCAGCGAAUUUGGUGAUGCGCUGCUUGCCACCAGCGCUCCACCUGCUCGACAAGGUCUUUCUUCUUACCCGUGGUUGGCAAUUUCUGCUGCUGCAGAAACGAGCGCAAUUGUGGUACCGUCAAGGUGGUCAGCGUCCCCGAACGCAGAUGAUCGAUCACUUUGUGUUCCAGGUCUGCCGCCACAUUCGGGGUGUUUCGGGACGAGGUAGCCGGGCUCCCUGCGACACCAUUCGUUGUCGUCACUGGUGCGCGGCUUCCAUGAAUUCGAGCAUUUGGCACCGGUGACUCGCCACCUGGGUUCCGGGAGGCAUCGCGGGUUGAAGACUCGUCUCCGAGGGAGCCUUGAGGCAUCGGUAACCCAUCUGCCGGCGAAUCACCAUGUUGGGUUUGUUUGUUUUCGCGGCCGGCCCGGCGAAUAUACAUCCCAAAACCCUUGGGUGCAGCGCUUCUGCUGGCAUCCCUGUCGUUGGAAGGCAUGUCCAUUUCGGAACGCGUUCCGUUCCGUAGGCCUGUGUCCCGAUCCUGGGCGUUUCUUUCCGAACCAGCGGAUGACGGAGUCACAGACGCUGUGGUACUUCUAGGGGCAGUUAUUGAUUCCGUCUCUGAGGCGAUGUACGUAGCGUCACGUGGCGCGGAGUAGGUUACAGCCCCGUCGGACGGCUGAACGCGGGACCCCAACGGCGCCCUGUUCGGACCAGACGAUGGUGCAGAUGCGUUCCCCGGCGAUGUCCAUUCGGGGACGAACGGCUGUGCCGACCCCGAGUCGUCUCGUGUAGAAUCAUCACCGAAAGAGACGCCCCGUUUCGUUUGUGGCAAUGCUUCAUCACGUGCGCGUCGCAAGCUUUCAAGUUCUCGAUCCGAUUCGCCUGGUGUUGUAAAGCUCGGUCGCAGCUCGCGCUC